Long non-coding RNA from Homo sapiens (human), 4888 nucleotides. RefSeq lists it as uncharacterized. The record is from RefSeq and is a predicted model, not a curated record. NCBI's taxonomy places the organism in Eukaryota, Metazoa, Chordata, Mammalia, Primates, Hominidae. The transcript is spliced from 2 exons.
GAUCGCCACCGCGCUCCUUUUGCGGCGGAACAAAAUCCUCUGGCUGUGGUUGACUGGCUUUCCCCGGCAUCGAUAACAACGACCCAUGAGGGGCGAGCCGGGUAGGGGGCGUGGGGGUAGUGGUGGGAGUGUGCUCUCACUUGCUAUCUUCUUCCUCCUGUGCAUCCCCCUUUCUACAGGGCGGAGCAAAUCCUCUGGGCGAGGAUGCCUGGUGUCUCUCGGGCUCUGAUAGCCACCAUCCACGAGGAGGAGCUCUCAUCUGUGACAGCCUUCCUCUCCCUGAGCAUCCACCUUUCUACAGGUGAGGAUGACAGCCCCCAGUGGCCUGAGAGAAAAUGAGAAGGUGAGUCAGCGAGGGCACAGGGAUUGGCGAGGUGGUUGGGUGGGUCUAGUCGGGGAGAGAACGCUGGAGGAGGAAAAGAGGAGAACCCUAAUGGGCGCUGGAUAGGCAGCUGACAACUCCAACCCAACCUCAGAGUCUGGUGCAGGUCUCUAAUGGGCGCUUCCAUAAUAGUCUGGCCUCUCUACUCCCUCCCCUACCACACACACAGGGCCCUCCUCCCCAGGUGCCCCGCCCUUCUCCUCAUAGUAGUCUAUGCUCACAUUUUGGUGCAUUGAGGUGCACUGGGAAGUGAGGUGAGGAAAUCUCUCCCAGGCUUGCAGAGGCACAUGUGAGAUACCCUCUUCUGCAAACAGGCUGAGAAUUCCAAUCAGAAGCUGCUGAUUUCUGAAGUAGGGCAAAGUUCUGUGGGUUUCUUUGAAAAACAAGAAGCCAGGUAGAGGACAGAAGUGUGAGCUUUGGACUCCUUAUCCUGAACCCACAUCUUUGACAAAAGUUUCAGAUCCCAUCUGGUGUGUGCCCACCACUCCGAGACCACUGAGGCACCCUCUCUGCAGCAGAACACCUAGAGGAGGACAGGAAGCCACACCCACGGGACCUAGCCUCCAUUGAGUUUAUGUCCACUUCCUGUCUUAUGGCAAGUGGGUGUGGAUCUCCGAGAGUGAGGAUCAGAUCCUCACAGACAUCCUGCUACUCUCUGCCAUGGCACAGCUGGGAAGAGUGGGCACCUGGGCUCACCUUCACUUGUGCCAGCCACCAAACCCAUUUGUUGGCUCACCUCUGGUUUUUCCCCAAAGCACUGAGCAAAGGUUCCAAGGGCUCUGGUGACUCCACGCCCCAUCAGGAAUAUAUCCAAUGAAGGCCUGAGGUGCUACCUUUGGUCCCUCUUUGUUAGCUGGUCUUUGCCUUUGGUGUCAUUGGAGCUGGGGUCUCUCUGUGCCUCCAGAGCCAUAGAAGCAUCCCAGAGCACUGGUGACACCAAAGAAGAAAGGUUGACACAGUCGGGGUGACGUGGGGGAGAAUAGGCGGUGGCGGGAUACCAGGAGCUGCUUUCCAUGUGAAAAAGAUAUGUGCAGUAAUAUGUGCAGUAUCCAGUUUGAGAGGCACAAUUAAACAGUUCAUGUGGACCCAGCAGGUAGUAGAUGGGGCAAGCCAGUCCUAAGCAGGCUUCAGAAGGCCAUGCUUUCCUGGGCCAUUCAGUUUGGAGUACUCUCUGAUAGGUUGCAUCUUUACAUCAAACAUCGGGAAGCUUUUUCCAAGAUUAUGUGAUGAGACCAAAGGAUGCUCAUUGGCUUUCUUCUCUGCCACAUAUCCACCAAACCCACUCCAACUCCCCAGAGUUGAAGCUUCACUUGAUUGAUAAAGCCCAGUCCAUUUCUGACUCCAUUCUCUCUGACUGGGCCUCAGCACAUUUUUCUUGGGAGUAGGAGAACCCAACUGUGCCUCUAGGUCCCAGAGCAAACGCUCCGAACUGCUUAGACCCACGAGGCAGUGGCCUGUCUAAGGAGGCAAAUCCACGUGCCUCUGUAUAAAGGCAGCUGUCACUCAAGCUUUACGUCUGCUCCCUGCCAUGGACCCAAUAGCCCCUAACUCUCCAGGAUCACUGAAGCUGUUUUGAAGUCUGCACUUCUUUGGUACUCGCUUUCCCUUUCCCUUACCCUCCCAAGUAGGCAGGGCACUUGGUGCAGGUGUUUUUGCAGACUUUGAACUGAGUAUUAGAUAUCCUUACUUUUCCAGCAGUAGCCAAACUUGGCUGUAGCAACAUAAAAACUUGUGAAAGCUCAGGAAAGAUGAAGCUUGACGGGUCUGGGACAGGGGGAUGGGUGGGCAGUUUGUAAAUACAAGUGGAAAGGCGUAGGAUGGUGGGGGCACGAAUUGGGGUCUGGCUGGGUCACAAGGCAAGGGGCACUGUUUUGAGCUGAAGACUAUGAGGAUUCGGGAAGAAUGAAUAGGCUCCCAGGCCUGUGAUCAGGAAAGGCAGGAUUUUGCUGGGUUUUCCUGGGGAAAGUGUAGUUAUGACUGGAAGGCUGCAAGGUCUUUGACGAGGAACAGGUGCAGCCAGGCAGCAUUGUGCGCAAAAGAGUCAGGCGCUUCCUUCGAGCCGGAAUUGAACCAGCGACCUAAGGAUGUCCACAAACGUUUCCGCAGUCUACAGUCCUCCGCUCUACCAGCUGAGCUAUCGAAGGAUGCACACUGUUAAGGCUGGGUCACUGGACUUUCUGCAAAUGGAGGAAGCCAAGUCCCUGGACCACCGGAGAUCCAAUACUCGUUGAGUUAAUUGGAACCCGACUUGGAAGAGAACUCUGCGCCGGUCUCCACUGCGCCCCUUUCCGGACAGAGCAAAUCCUCUGGGCCCGGGGGGGUGCCUGGCGUCUCUGGGGCGCCGAUAGCCACGAUCCACGAGGAGGAGCUCUCACCUGUGGCCUUCCUCUCCCUCUGCAUCGCUCUUUCUGCUUGUGAAGAUGACAGCCCUUAGUGGCCAGAGGGAAAAUGAGGUAAGACGGCGAGGGCAGAGGGCUUGGUGAGACUGAUGGGUGGGUCCAGUGGAGGAGAGGACACUGGAGGAGGAAAAGAGGAGAACCAGCAUGGGCGUGGUGUAAGCAGCUUCCAACCCCAGCCUAGCGUCAGGGUCUGAUGGAAGACCAUAAGGGGGCACUGCCCUAACAGCCUGUCCUCUACUUCCCACCACCUCAAACACACUCCUCUCGAUGUGCGCGGCCCUUCUACCCAGUGUCCUAUGCUCACUUUUUGGAGUAUUGAGGCAUAAUGGGAAGAGAGGGAGGAAAUGCAGGAGGAUAGGUGGAGGCCAGGUAUGGUGGCUCGCACCGCAAUUCCAACAAUUUAGCGGGCCGAGGCGAAAGGGGCGCUUGAGCGCAGGAGUUCGAGAUCAGCCUGGGCAACAUAGGGAGAAGCCAUCUCUACAGAAAAACUUCUAAAAAGUAUCCGGGUGUGGUGGCCUGCACCUGUGGUCCUGGCCACUCAGCAGGCUGAGGUGGGAGGAUCAUCUGAGCCCGGGUGUUCGAGGCUACAGUAAGCUGUGAUCUUGCCACUGCACUCCAGCCUGGGCGACAGAGACAAUUUAAAAAAAAAAAAAAAAAGAUAUGUGGGGAGAGAGUAGGGCCAGGGGCUCGCAGAUCACCAUGUGAUACCCAUUACCUCUAACCCCAAAGGCCAGCAUAAAAGCUUCGAUCCAGUCCUCUGCUACUGACCAAGAAUCCUUUCCCAGAGGCUGCUGCUUUCUAAAGUAGGGGCCCCUGGAAAGAAAAGGGGGCUGAUAGAGGAAACCAGGUGAGCUUUGGACCCCUUACCUAGGCCACAAAUUGUUACAAAGGGUUCAUAUCCCAUAUGGUGUGUGUCCACUAUCCCAAGACCACUCAUCACCCACACAAACAGUGAGACAGUUACUGGUGGCACAGCAAGCUGAACCCAAAAGACCCACCCUUUAUUGAGUUUAUAGGGGAAAAGUCAUGGUCAGGGAUCACCCACACUUUUGCUGAUGACCAAACACCACUCAAUGGCCCACCUCUGUUUUUUCCCUCAAAGCACCAAGCCUAGGUUCCAAAAAACCUGGUACCGCCACAUCUUAUCAAGGACAUAUCCAGUAUAGACCAAAGGUUCUACUUUGGUUUCUGUUUGCUGAUCUCUGCAGCAAUGUCAUUCGAGGCUGGGAUCUCUCUGGGGCUGCAGAGCUACAGAAUGUUGCUGGGGCACUGGUGAGUCCACAGCUCUGCCCCUUUCCAUCAGCAGUGGGAAGCAGGAAAGGCUGAUACAACAGAGAAGAGGUAGGGAAUAGGCCGUAGGGGGAGAACAGGAUCUGCUUUCUAGGAGGGGAAGACAUGUGUACUCUCUAGUUUGAGACGCAGAGUGAAAAAGCAGUUAUGCCCAUCGGGUAGGGGAGAGUGGUCACCGGGUUCCCAGAAGGCCUCUGAGAACCAAAUUUCCAUCACUGUUUUGCUUGCAGUGCUCUCUGUGAUAAUUUUCAUCUGUAUAUCAAGCGUCUGAAGAUUUUUUUUUUUUUCCCCAGAGCAUAGGAUGGGACCAGGGGACACUCAUUGUGGUUCCUCUCUGGCUCAUACUUUGAUGAACCCACUUCAUCUUCCCAGAGGUGAAGCCCAGUUGGUGAAAGCCAAGCCCAUUUCCUGCUUCAUGCUCUCAGAUUGUGCCAGCCAUCUUCCUCUUGUAGAAGGCGCAACCUUCCAGCUGUGCCUGCAGAGCCCCCACAUAAAAGUGAGCAUGCUGCUCAGAUGCAACAAGCCAGUGGCCUAAGGAGGUGAACUUGUGUACCUCUGCAAGGUGGCAGCUGCCACCCAAGCUUCAAUUCUGCUCCCUGCCAGGGACCCAACAGCCCCCAACCCUCCCGGGUCACUGAAGUUCUUUCCAAGUCUGCCCUUUUAUACUCUCUUUCCCUCUCUCACACCUUCACAACCAGUAAGACACUUGGUAUAGGUGUUUUUGCAGACUUUGAACUGAGUGGAAGGUAUCUUUCUUCUUCCAGCAGGAGCCCAAAGUUUACUGUAGCAACAUUAAAAGGUGCGAAGGCUCGGGAAA